This 95-nucleotide ribosomal RNA is filed under the name Paenibacillus sp. Soil724D2. RNAcentral describes it as "partial 16S ribosomal RNA". It matches the Rfam family "Bacterial small subunit ribosomal RNA", at positions 1 to 96 of the family's 1533-position model. Lineage: Bacteria; Bacillati; Bacillota; Bacilli; Caryophanales; Paenibacillaceae. The record is from RNAcentral.
CUAUUAUGGAGAGUUUGAUCCUGGCUCAGGACGAACGCUGGCGGCGUGCCUAAUACAUGCAAGUCGAGCGGACUUAUCCUUCGGGAUAAAUUAGC